GAUCAAAAGAAGAAAACAAAGUGGGAGAAAUAACAAAUAAAGUGAUGUUUUGUGUUUGUAAUUGGACAUUUAACUCAUAUUAAUUAUGUGGUGUUUACAAAAUAUAUCAAAUGAAUUGAUAUGGCUUAGUGGUAAAAGUAAUGAGAACUGUAACUGAAAUGUCAUGGGUUUGAAUCCUGUUGAGACUUUUUUUAUAAAACAUAUAAG
This 207-nucleotide long non-coding RNA is filed under the name Trifolium pratense (red clover). RNAcentral's name for it is "long non-coding RNA (TPRA_LNC013861)". The record is from RNAcentral. Lineage: Eukaryota; Viridiplantae; Streptophyta; Magnoliopsida; Fabales; Fabaceae.